RNAcentral lists this small nuclear RNA (318 nucleotides) under Octodon degus (degu). RNAcentral's name for it is "7SK RNA (ENSODEG00000023078.1)". It matches the Rfam family "7SK RNA". Rfam says of the family: 7SK was discovered as an abundant small nuclear RNA in the mid-70s but a possible function has only recently been suggested. Two independent studies have found that 7SK RNA binds the CDK9/cyclin T complex (known as elongation factor P-TEFb). P-TEFb activates transcription by phosphorylating the C-terminal domain of RNA polymerase II. Lineage: Eukaryota; Metazoa; Chordata; Mammalia; Rodentia; Octodontidae. The record is from Rfam by way of RNAcentral.
GGAUGUUAGGGCGAUCUGGCUGCGACAUCUGUCACCCCAUUGAUCGCCAGGGUUGAUUUGGCUAAUCUGGCUGGCUAGGUGGGUGUCCCCUUCCUCCCUCAAUGAUCCAUGUGCGUCCCUUCCGAAGCUGUGUGCUCAGUCAAAGAGGACGACUGCCCAAUAGAGGAGGACCGUUCCUCGGUCAAGGGUGUACGAGUAGCUGCACUCCCCUGCUAGAACCUCCAAACAAGCUCUCAAGGCCCUGAGUUGAAUCCUUGGCACCACAAAAAAUAAUGAAACUAUAGCCCCUGAAUGAAUAUGAUUAAAAAUCAACUCAGG